This 24-nucleotide microRNA is filed under the name Corchorus capsularis. Its description in RNAcentral is "sRNA CCACVL1_20092". The record is from RNAcentral. Lineage: Eukaryota; Viridiplantae; Streptophyta; Magnoliopsida; Malvales; Malvaceae.
ACUCCCUCUGUCUCUAAUUAUAAG